AUGAAAGGUCUUGCUGAUGAGUUAGCCGCUGCGGGGAAGAAGAUGGAUGAGGAUGAUCUCGUGUCUCAAAUCCUCCAAGGUCUUGAUGCAGACUAUAAUCCCUUUGUUUCUGCUAUUUCUGCAAAGACCAAUGAGCAGGUUAUCACGUUGGCGGAUCUCUACUCUGGGCUGCUCGUGGCGGAGACGCGCCUAGAAGCCCAGAACCCGGUGCACCAGCAGCAGUUCUCCGUCAACCUCGCUGCUAAGGGAGGACGUGGUGGCAGCUCCUCCAACAACCGCGGCAACAGCAGCGGGAACAGCCGUGGUGGGCGCCCUGAUGAUGGGCGUGGUAACUACCACACCAACAACCAGCGCCAAGGCAACAGCGGCGGCGGCUACGGUGGUGGGUACGGCGGCGGUGGCUACAACAGCAACAACAGCGACUAUGGUGGUCAUAACAGUGGCUACGGUGGCGGCGGCUACAAUGGCGGCAGCUACGGUGGCGGGGCUACAACAACAAUUCCCGUCCUGAUGUUGUCAUCUGUCAGAUUUGUACCAAGGCCGGCCAUGAUGCAUAUCGCUGCUGGAAGCGGUUUGAGAAGAACUACAAGAGGAAGGAGAAGACCGCAAACACCGCGGCCACCUCUUACGGAGUCGACACCAAUUGGUACAUCGACACCGGGGCGACUGACCAUAUCACGAGUGAGCUAG
Molecule: ribosomal RNA, 690 nt
Filed under: Triticum aestivum (bread wheat)
Lineage: Eukaryota; Viridiplantae; Streptophyta; Magnoliopsida; Poales; Poaceae
Description: partial small subunit ribosomal RNA
Source: RNAcentral